GUAGAUAUAGUUUAAUAAAAAUACUAGCCUGUGAAACUAGAAAUAGAAGCGCAAACCUUCUUAUCUACC
Molecule: transfer RNA, 69 nt
Filed under: Elephantulus myurus (eastern rock elephant shrew)
Lineage: Eukaryota; Metazoa; Chordata; Mammalia; Macroscelidea; Macroscelididae
Description: tRNA-His
Rfam family: tRNA
About the family: Transfer RNA (tRNA) molecules are approximately 80 nucleotides in length. Their secondary structure includes four short double-helical elements and three loops (D, anti-codon, and T loops). Further hydrogen bonds mediate the characteristic L-shaped molecular structure. tRNAs have two regions of fundamental functional importance: the anti-codon, which is responsible for specific mRNA codon recognition, and the 3' end, to which the tRNAs corresponding amino acid is attached (by aminoacyl-tRNA synthetases). tRNAs cope with the degeneracy of the genetic code in two manners: having more than one tRNA (with a specific anti-codon) for a particular amino acid; and 'wobble' base-pairing, i.e. permitting non-standard base-pairing at the 3rd anti-codon position.
Source: RNAcentral